UUGGAGGGCAAGUCUGGUGCCAGCAGCCGCGGUAAUUCCAGCUCCAAUAGCGUAUAUUAAAGUUGUUGCAGUUAAAAAGCUCGUAGUUGAAUUUCGGGGUUAGUAGGUUGGUCAUGCCUCUGGUAUGUACUGGUCUCACUGAUUCCUCCUUCCUGAUGAACUGUAAUGCCAUUAAUUUGGUGUUGCAGGGAAUCUGGACUGUUACUUUGAAAAAAUUAGAGUGUUUAAAGCAGGCGCACGCUUGAAUACAUUAGCAUGGAAUAAUGAAAUAGGACGUUCGAUCCUAUUUUGUUGGUUUCUAGGAUUGACGUAAUGAUUAAUAGGGAUAGUUGGGGGCAUUAGUAUUCAAUUGUCAGAGGUGAAAUUCUUGGAUUUAUUGAAGACUAACUACUGCGAAAGCAUUUGCCAAGGAUGUUUUCAUUAAUCAAGAACGAAAGUUAGGGGAUCGAAGACGAUCAGAUACCGUCGUAGUCUUAACCAUAGACUAUGCCGACUAGGGAUCGGAUGAUGUUAAUUUUUUAAUGACUCAUUCGGCGCCUUACGGGAAAC
This 549-nucleotide ribosomal RNA is filed under the name uncultured Glomeraceae. Its description in RNAcentral is "SSU rRNA". It matches the Rfam family "Eukaryotic small subunit ribosomal RNA", at positions 548 to 1098 of the family's 1831-position model. Lineage: Eukaryota; Fungi; Glomeromycota; Glomeromycetes; Glomerales; Glomeraceae. The record is from RNAcentral.